This 1671-nucleotide ribosomal RNA is filed under the name Triticum aestivum (bread wheat). RNAcentral describes it as "partial small subunit ribosomal RNA". The record is from RNAcentral. Lineage: Eukaryota; Viridiplantae; Streptophyta; Magnoliopsida; Poales; Poaceae.
AUGGACAACGUCGCUGAGCACCGCGUGCAGAUGCCGGCGGCUCCUCCCGCCGGCAAGGCCAAGGCCAUGCCGGAGAAGCGGCUGAACCGCUUCGUGCACUUCGUCGCCAUGAUAGAGAGGAUGGGCAACGCUCUGGGUACGCUGACAUUUACCUGGGCCACCGUCGUCCUGCUCGGCGGCUACCCGACGGUGCUCCGUCCCGGUGACGAUUUUUGGAUGGUGACGACCAUAGUUUUCCUGGAGGCCGCGAGGAUGUUCAGCCAUGGAAACAAUAGGCCAGAUUACCAGUUGUUCUUCCGCACGAGAGGUGCUUUCAAGUCUCUUGGCUGGAAUGGGCUGAUCUUCACCGUAUGUCUUAUGGAGGUUAUGGUGUGCGUAGUGAUCUUGUAUGGACAUUGGAUACCACCAAUGCCAUUUGUUCUUCUGGUAAUUCUUGCAAUUGGCCGGUUUCUGACUCCAGGAGCUGCAAAACUACUCAUAUCCAAUGAACUAUCCUGUGCAAUAUCAUUAUGGAGCCCCAUGGUAGCAAUUAUAUUGUUAGGUCCCUCUGUACCAUAUGGCUAUGGUUUUAGGUACAAGGAUUUCUCAAUUCACAGGUUUAUUACCAGAAACCCAAUGUCCAGAUGGGCAGCAUACCUAGUACUAUUCAUGGUGGUGCUCCUACUUACAAUCAGCAAACUUCGGUUCGCAGGUGUAGUCAAACUAGUAGAUUCUGCUCUUGGCCGCAAACUGGCAUGUUGGCGCCGAGUUAUCAUAAAUUUGUGCAUGUUUGCUGUCAUAGUGAUGUUGGUGUCAACUUUUCAUGGCUCAGUUCGGUACAUGAUCAUCGCAUUCCAAGCAUAUGCUCUAUUGAUAGUUUCAUUUGGCAACCUCCAAGUUCCAGCAGCAGUAUUGCGCAUUGGGUUGGCACUGUCGCGCCUUAUACCACAGUGUUACUAUGGUGAUGAUGAACGUGUUGACAGGAGAACACUCGGAGAUAAGACAAACUUUGUGCCAUCUCUCAAUAUAUUGUAUGCCAUGGUGGUUGGCCAAGGAAUACUCUACAUUGUUGCCUGCAUCCUUGAGGUCUUUUCAUUCAUCCUCCGGCGACCGCUCAUCCAUCUUGCUGGAUUUAGAGGUCCCCUAGGAGUGGAAUAUGUCGAUUUGUACUAUGCAUAUGCAUUCGAAAAAUGCAUGAGAGGGGUUGUGCUUGCUCCAAAGAAAACCAAUCUCAUCACAUUUUCAAUCGAUUGUAUAGAAUCAAACUCACCAAAGAUGCAAUUCUACGGGGUUCAGAUGAUCCACGCCUUUUUGAAAAAGGAGCCAUUGAAGAUUAAAGCCAUCUCAAAACUCACCACUUCCACAAAGACAGUGACCACAGUGCUUGAUAUGUUGGGUUGGACUAGUAGAGGGAACAAAGAUAUUAGAUCGUUUGCCGCAAAGGUCAUGGCUGAGCUUGCUAAGAGUAUCCGAAUUGCCUCUAUACCUGGGGCGAUGCAGCUCAUAGCUUCACUUCUAGACACUACCCACGAAACAGAAAUAAAGGAUCCUCUGCUAGACACUAAUAGCCAAGUGGCCAAACAAGAUGCCCUAGUUGAGCAAGUUAGCAAGGGCAGACAGAACUCCGUGAGGCUUAAAUGGUGGAAACAGAUGGUAAUAUACUGCUUGAUACCGGCAGAGGAGCCACCAUAA